UACGUAGGGUGCAAGCGGUGUCCGGAAUUAUUGGGCGUAAAGAGCUCGUAGGCGGUCUGUCGCGUCGGCUGUGAAAUCCCGAGGCUCAACCUCGGGUCUGCAGUCGAUACGGGCAAACUGGAGUGUUGCAGGGGAGACUGGAAUUCCUGGUGUAGCGGUGAAAUGCGCAGAUAUCAGGAGGAACACCGGUGGCGAAGGCGGGUCUCUGGGCAACAACUGACGCUGAGGAGCGAAAGCGUGGGGAGCGAACAGG
This 253-nucleotide ribosomal RNA is filed under the name uncultured bacterium. RNAcentral's name for it is "partial 16S ribosomal RNA". It matches the Rfam family "Bacterial small subunit ribosomal RNA", at positions 524 to 776 of the family's 1533-position model. The record is from RNAcentral.